UCAAACCAAAGUCAAAAUUAGACCAAAUAACUUGAAAAUCAAGUCUAAAUUAAAAAACCCAUCAAAACUAAAAAAUUGAUCGGUUCGAACAGAAUCGAAUCGAAAUAGAGCGGUUCAGUUCGAUUUUUUAUUCAUUUCGAUUCAGUUUGGUUUAUAAAAUAUGGUAAUUCGGUUAAUUUGAUUUUGAUAAUUCGGUUUGGUUCGGUUCGGUUUGAACCAAAUGCUCAGCCCUAGUGCUAUGAUAGGGAGAAUGGAGUUUGUGGACAAACUCUAUGUUGCUUCCAUUAACAAACAAGCUUCAAA
Molecule: unclassified non-coding RNA, 303 nt
Filed under: Hevea brasiliensis (rubber tree)
Lineage: Eukaryota; Viridiplantae; Streptophyta; Magnoliopsida; Malpighiales; Euphorbiaceae
Source: RNAcentral